This is a long non-coding RNA of Hemicordylus capensis (graceful crag lizard), 4076 nucleotides long. RefSeq lists it as uncharacterized. The record is from RefSeq and is a predicted model, not a curated record. The transcript is spliced from 4 exons. NCBI's taxonomy places the organism in Eukaryota, Metazoa, Chordata, Lepidosauria, Squamata, Cordylidae.
AUCCACAUGACUAGGGCUACCAAUUCCAGACCCAAAGAAGGCUCUUGCGCCUUCAUGGAAAGUAUGGUUGUUCUCAUUCUCUUUCUUUUCCUCUUCCUGCCUUCCAUGGCUACAGAGGGAGCACCUGUCUUUAUAGCCUAGUCUGAGAAAUUCUGCAGCAUUCCUUCGACUCAAGCCGAGUGGUUCUUGCCUCACACAAAACUGCACAGGGGCAGUACAGCCCUUGCUAUGAUGGCUUUGGGUGCCAAAGGACGCAUUCCCUAAGCAUGCUUCCCCACUUGAGUUCUAAAGGCAUUGUGAGGGCUAGUCUUUGCCUUAGGAAAUAAACACAGCCUUUAUCCGGUCUGAAUAAUUCAACAAGUACCAACAACCAAAAGCAGUCCAGUGCUCAUGUCUGAAAUGGAGAAUCAGUGCAAGAUCUACUGUUACAAAGCAUAAUGGGACUGUCUGUGGCCAGCACCACAAUAAAAUCCAUGAAUUUUGACAUCUGAAAUUUCAAGUAAAGAAUAAAUCCUUCUUACUUCACAAACUUGACAGAGACAUGAGUAGGACUACUAUUUAGCCAAAACCAGUGAAGGAAGGGGGAUAUAAGAGCAACCAGCAUCACUGAAUUAAAUUGAUACUAGCUGGACCAGGCGCAGAGCAUCUGCACCUCUAGUUCUUCUGUGCCCCCAGUUGUCACCGCUUUCUCUUCCCCCUGCCCCAGCUGCCACCACCGCUUUCUCUCCCUCUCCUGGCAGCUCACUUGCGAACUGUCACAAGAGCUUCCAUGCAUGGGAUUAGCCACGGGAGUCAGCCCAGAUGAUCGCAGCCAAGCAUGCCUAUGAAGGGCCACUGAUGAGACCAUGGAUCUCGUUGCGCAGUCCACUCGAUGUCUGGACAAAUGGAGCUGUUGCUUCGCCAGGCCCAAGGAAGUUGCCAUGCACAAGACUUGUUCAGAGUGUGAGCUGAGAUCAUUUGGAGAUUCAGGUGAAGGAUCCAGGAAGUCUCCAAUUGGAGAGAAAACAAGAGAAAUGCCGACAAGCUGUUAAUCCCUUGGCAGACAACAAAGAACUGACUGUGAGGGCAACCAGAAUGAGACUGGAAGGGGCGGAGCUACCGCCAAAAUUAGAGAGCUUCAGAGACUCCAUAGCUGUCCCUGCGCAGGCACAGAGCCCAUGUGUGACAGACAGAGACGUGACAGACAGAGACCACAACGAAGAACCCUUUCCCUCCAACUAACUCACUGGGUGAAUCAGCCAGGGGAGGGGGUUAUUCAGAUUGUUUCCCUUGGAAUUUCCACUCACAACCAGCAUUCCUCAUCACAGACUCCCACAGGAUGAAGGGACUGUGAUUUUCCUCCUAUCCCAUGUAGGGCGUUUCAUAUUAUCAGUUUGUCUCCAUGUUGAGUUGGUCAUUGUUCUCUUGCUGGGUGCCAGCCCAAUAUGGAGAAAGGCACAUUCCAAACACUGAGGAAUUCAGAUCUAUAGUCCUAUUUCAGAAAAGGUAAUGAAAACUGGGUUCCUAUGGAUACCCAUUCAUGGCAGGCAUCUCUAUGUGGAAUAGUAAGGCAAUCUCCACAUAUUGUGGAUGAUACACUGUUAAGAUUUACUACAGUAAUGAGUAGUGUGUGUUGGUUUCCAAACAUGGUGUUCUCUUUUAUCAUUUUGUUACUGACUACACUACAGUUAUUUUUAGGCUUGAAUUAUAGUACAACUGUAUGAGUCUUUUUCCAUAUAAGACUUACUGCUGAAAUAACCCAGAGUUCCUCAACAACAAGCAGACAGCUUACAAAAAACACGGCUUGUGCUUGAAUUGUACAUUUGUUUUAAGGCAACCUUUUGCUAUGAUUUAUCACAAUUGAUGCUGCAACAAGAGUUCUGCUUUCCUCCACACUUUUAGAGUUUGUAGGCCAAAAGGUUUUUCCCCAGUUGAGCCAAGAGAUAUGCUAAUAUUAAAGGGGAUUUCACAGUACUUACACUGCCCCAUCCACUAAAGAAGCCCCUGCUGUUUAUUUAAUUUCACAUUAUGAGUAUUACACGCAAGCCACUAUUUGCUUGUAAUUUUCUUUACAUUAGAAAUUAAAACCUGAAGCAGACUUCUAAACCUGAUGAAAAUUCUUGUUUAUGAAUUAGACCUGUAUUUAGUUCCUUUGCUUUUUAAGGUCUUUUGAGGCAAUAGGGUUUUUUUAGCACAACAACUGUACAAACAGAAACAACAUUCAUGUCCAUAAUACUACAGACAUUGUUGAGCAUACAAAACAUGUGGACCAAUUUCAGAUUAUGUUAGGCACACUUAAAUCUCACUGAAAUCAAUGGUACAUGUCAAUCCCAGCCUAUUUAAGUCCCAUCAAUUUUGAUGGAACAUGCAGCCAAAUCCCACUCAUGCUUACUGUAUUUGGAAGUAUUUUCAAUGAGUUCAAAGAACUUCCUCUAAAACAAGCAGGCCUUAAGUGUGAUUAUUUUCUUCUAUAUUAGAACACAAUGGGGCAAGAAUGCACUCAGAAAACAAAUAAUAAGAACUGUAAUGGAGAUACACCAGUUAUACACAGACUCUUUUAUUCUGAAAAUUUGAAGAAUAAAGAAUAUCAAUAUGGUAAAAUAAUAACUUACACUUACCAGACCAUUGCAGUUGCUUAAUGCUACUUUAGUUGUACUGUGCUGGUCAUGUAAAUAUCCCGUGUAAUGACAGUUGUCUAAAAAGUCAUGCUUCCACUGAGGUCCAUCUUUCCCCCAGUAUUCUACUGUGAAGUGUUUGGAGACCAAAUCUGUGUUGAGAGUCAGGUUUAAAUGAAAGUGCUUGCCAUAGGCAGAAAGUUUAAAAAAUAAUUUAGAUACAGCCAGUUCUUGAUCAGUACUCCUCUUCUUUCUCCUGGAGGGCUUAGUAUUUUUCACAGUAAAGCUGAGGAAGGCUCCAUUAUGGUCAACCCUUAUUGGGAUUGUUAGUUGGUAGUGUUCAAGGUAGGACAGGAAUUCCUCUUUGAAACCACAAGGUAAAUCAGUCCAAGCAAUGGGCAUAAAAAAAGAAGAAAAUAUAACAGGACACAAGAAGGAGUAGUAUAACAUUAUCCACAUUUUACUAAACCAAGCACCUUUAAAGUGAAUGUUCAGAUGAGCAUAUUAAUAAGAAAAACAAAUUUCCUGCUAAAUAAAAUAUCAGCUUUAAAAGUUUCUAAAAAUAUUUCAAUUCAGAACAAUAUUUUAUAAUGAAAUUCUACUCAUCCAUCUACUUUAAAUUUGCUAAAUAUUUUGCCUAUUCUAAUAUAGUUUUUACACAUGCAAGUUAAGUUAUGUUAUUGGAAGGAUAAUCACUUAUUUAUCCAAUAGAAAUAAUAACUAUAAUUUGCAUGAAAAUAAUCAUUUUGUAAAAUGUCUACUGAUACAAUCCAGUACAAUCUAGUAAGCUCCACUGAUCUCAGGAGAACAUAAGCAAACAUAACUCUUGUGCUAGAUUAGCAUCCUCAUCCACUUAGCUAAGGAUAUAAAAGCUUCAGGACACACACAAGUCCUCCUAGCCAAAAAAGGUCUUCCUAUAUAAACUUCAACAAAAGAAGAAGACCAAUGCAGCAUUGUAUGCAUGUGUAAAUAUGCUAUCUUCAUUCAAGUUAAUGGGAGAACCUUCAUACAUAGGAGCUCAGCACAUGACCUGCAGUGUACAUGAAGUCUGAGAUUCAGAUUAAAUAUUAUAUUUUUAAUUAACAUGUAAAAAACAAGCAUUUCAAGACAUUUUAAAAUAUAUAAAUUAUUUGUGAAUUAAGCAAUCAUUUAAGUUUGAGGAUUUAUUUAUUAACUAAUUAAAAUAAUAGCUUUUCAAUUUGCUAAUAAAACAAUUCUAUCAUUUUAAUUCUACUACCUAAAGAGAAUGAAUUUUUAAAAAUCUUACUUCAUGAGUCAUGUGCCAAUAGUAAUAUCUAUAUUAAGGACACCUGAUUAACCAACGGAAGUGUCAAAGAUGUAAACUAAGGAAGUUGAAUCCCUACCUUGAGAACUAUAAGAAAGUCUGUUGUCACCAUGAAAUUCUGACAAAACCAUGAUUAAGCACAAAAUCCAGGUCAACGUCUUCCACAAAAUUUCCAUAAUUUGGAAGAAGUGGGGCUA